GGGAAGGGCUGAGUAAAAGGGCCAGUCCUUGACUCCAGAAAGAGCCCAAGUUCACGCUGGAGUGUGUCAAAGUCAGGCACUCAAGAAUGUGCUUCUCCACCCCACUACAGAGGCUCCCUGGUCAAGGACCUGCAAGCUGGCAGUGGGCACUGGGAGCACAAUGGUGAAGAAGACAAAACCCUCUGGAGGCCUCCAGACACAUCCAUUCGAUGUCCCCAUGAUUACCUCAAGUUCACCAUGUCCACACUAAGAAUGAACAUCUGUCUCCCAACCUUGCUCUUCUUCCUGUAUUUCCUAUCUCACAGACCUGCGUUACACUGACCACAGAAGUGUGUUAGACCCAUUCUCAUUCAACCCCACAUUUAAUCAUGAAGACCUGUUACUUCUAUGUCUUUAAUAUUUCU
RNAcentral lists this long non-coding RNA (404 nucleotides) under Mustela putorius furo (domestic ferret). Its description in RNAcentral is "lncRNA (ENSMPUG00000026396.1)". The record is from RNAcentral. Lineage: Eukaryota; Metazoa; Chordata; Mammalia; Carnivora; Mustelidae.